Non-coding RNA from Schistosoma rodhaini, 45 nucleotides. NCBI's taxonomy places the organism in Eukaryota, Metazoa, Platyhelminthes, Trematoda, Strigeidida, Schistosomatidae. The record is from Rfam.
AUCCAGCUGACGAGUCCUAAAUAGUACGAAACGUGCUUCCUGGAU